This 2098-nucleotide small RNA is filed under the name Pongo abelii (Sumatran orangutan). RNAcentral describes it as "retained intron". The record is from RNAcentral. Lineage: Eukaryota; Metazoa; Chordata; Mammalia; Primates; Hominidae.
ACCUGGAGGCAGCGCGCGCGUCCAAGAGGCAGCGGCUGGGGAGCGCGGCGGGGCGGCUCCGCCCAGGGCAGCCCGGGCUGGGCCAAGGAGCAAGCUCACCCUUCUCCAGCUCUCAGCCCCAGUGAUCAAGGCUUCAGUGAACUGCACUGGAGCUCCCAGCGGGGGAUCUUGUCCCCUGUCCUGACUUUUGUGCUGCACUUUGGAUCUGGUGACACUCAGGAAAUGCUUGUCUCCGGCUGUUAAUGAAUAAUUUCAGAGUACUAUGGAUCAUGCUGAAGAAAAUGAAAUCCUUGCAGCAACCCAGAGGUACUAUGUGGAAAGGCCUAUCUUUAGUCAUCCGGUCCUCCAGGAAAGACUACACACAAAGGACAAGGUUCCUGAUUCCAUUGCGGAUAAGCUGAAACAGGCAUUCACAUGUACUCCUAAAAAAAUAAGAAAUAUCAUUUAUAUGUUCCUACCCAUAACUAAAUGGCUGCCAGCAUACAAAUUCAAGGAAUAUGUGUUGGGUGACUUGGUCUCAGGCAUAAGCACAGGGGUGCUUCAGCUUCCUCAAGGUCCUUUUGCUGUUAUUAGCCUGAUGAUUGGUGGUGUGGCUGUUCGAUUAGUACCAGAUGAUAUAGUCAUUCCAGGAGGAGUAAAUGCAACCAAUGGCACAGAGGCCAGAGAUGCCUUGAGAGUGAAAGUCGCCAUGUCUGUGACCUUACUUUCAGGAAUCAUUCAGUUUUGCCUAGGUGUCUGUAGGUUUGGAUUUGUGGCCAUAUAUCUCACAGAGCCUCUGGUCCGUGGGUUUACCACUGCAGCAGCUGUGCAUGUCUUCACCUCCAUGUUAAAAUAUCUGUUUGGAGUUAAAACAAAGCGGUACAGUGGAAUCUUUUCAGUGGUGUAUGCGUCGGGCUGAUGGUUUUUGGUUUGCUGUUGGGUGGCAAGGAGUUUAAUGAGAGAUUUAAAGAGAAAUUGCCGGCGCCUAUUCCUUUAGAGUUCUUUGCGGUUGUAAUGGGAACUGGCAUUUCAGCUGGGUUUAACUUGAAAGAAUCAUACAAUGUGGAUGUCGUUGGAACGCUUCCUCUAGGGCUGCUACCUCCAGCCAAUCCGGACACCAGCCUCUUCCACCUUGUGUACGUAGAUGCCAUUGCCAUAGCCAUCGUUGGAUUUUCAGUGACCAUCUCCAUGGCCAAGACCUUAGCAAAUAAACAUGGCUACCAGGUUGACGGCAAUCAGGAGCUCAUUGCCCUGGGACUGUGCAAUUCCAUUGGCUCACUCUUCCAGACCUUUUCAAUUUCAUGCUCCUUGUCUCGAAGCCUUGUUCAGGAGGGAACCGGUGGGAAGACACAGCUUGCAGGUUGUUUGGCCUCAUUAAUGAUUCUGCUGGUCAUAUUAGCAACUGGAUUCCUCUUUGAAUCAUUGCCCCAGGCUGUGCUGUCGGCCAUUGUGAUUGUCAACCUGAAGGGAAUGUUUAUGCAGUUCUCAGAUCUCCCCUUUUUCUGGAGAACCAGCAAAAUAGAGCUGACCAUCUGGCUUACCACUUUUGUGUCCUCCUUGUUCCUGGGAUUGGACUAUGGUUUGAUCACCGCUGUGAUCAUUGCUCUGCUGACUGUGAUUUACAGAACACAGAGGUGAGUGCCUAAAUUGGAAUAGAUGUGAGUGUUCCGGCAGAGAUGACAAUGUUGACUUUAAGUGUAGACCAAAGUUUAAGUUGGUAGAAGUGGAGCCCUUUGAUGGUUUCUAGUUAGCGUGAGAGGAAGCUAUAACACUCAUGUAGCCUGUUGACUAAAUGAAUAAAAUGCCAAUUUAAAAAUUCCAUAUAAUUUUGCCAAAUGCUCUUCUAUGUCACAAUUUAUGCUCCCAUCAAUGGUUAUGUUAAAAGAGCCUAAUUUCCAUCAUUGUUUCUGCCAUUCCCGAUCUAGUGCUAUGCUGGUUUAUUUACCCUCUUGCAAUUUGUUUCGGCACCACAUACUGACAUGAGUUUCAAUGACAUGAAGCAAACUCUGACGCCAAGUUAUCGUAUGCAUUCCUUCCAUUGUCCUUUCCUCCACCCUGAACCACUAUCUCCUGUUAUCUCUUCUCCCUAGUAGGAAGCUGAGCCCACUAGGGAAAGUAU